GACGAACGCUGGCGGCGUGCUUAACACAUGCAAGUCGAACGGAAAGGCCCUGCUUUUGUGGGGUGCUCGAGUGGCGAACGGGUGAGUAACACGUGAGUAACCUGCCCUUGACUUUGGGAUAACUUCAGGAAACUGGGGCUAAUACCGGAUAGGAGCUCCUGCUGCAUGGUGGGGGUUGGAAAGUUUCGGCGGUUGGGGAUGGACUCGCGGCUUAUCAGCUUGUUGGUGGGGUAGUGGCUUACCAAGGCUUUGACGGGUAGCCGGCCUGAGAGGGUGACCGGCCACAUUGGGAAUGGGAGACGGCCCAGACUCCUACGGGAGGCAGGAGUGGGGAAUAUUGCACAAAGGGCGGAAGCCUGAUGCAGCAACGCCGGGUGCGGGAUGACGGCCUUCGGGGUGUAAACCGCUUUCGCCUGUGACGAAGCGUGAGUGACGGGAAUGGGUAAAGAAGCAACGGCUAAAUAAGU
Molecule: ribosomal RNA, 467 nt
Filed under: uncultured bacterium
Lineage: Bacteria
Description: partial 16S ribosomal RNA
Rfam family: Bacterial small subunit ribosomal RNA
Source: RNAcentral